RNAcentral lists this ribosomal RNA (253 nucleotides) under uncultured bacterium. RNAcentral describes it as "partial 16S ribosomal RNA". It matches the Rfam family "Bacterial small subunit ribosomal RNA", at positions 524 to 776 of the family's 1533-position model. The record is from RNAcentral.
UACGAAGGGGGCUAGCGUUGCUCGGAAUUACUGGGCGUAAAGGGCGCGUAGGCGGACAUUUAAGUUAGAGGUGAAAGCCCAGGGCUCAACCCUGGAAUAGCCUUUAAUACUGGAUGUCUUGAGUUCGGGAGAGGUGAGUGGAAUGCCGAGUGUAGAGGUGAAAUUCGCAGAUAUUCGGCGGAACACCAGUGGCGAAGGCGACUCACUGGUCCGAUACUGACGCUGAGGUGCGAAAGCGUGGGGAGCAAACAGG